RNAcentral lists this long non-coding RNA (284 nucleotides) under Dasypus novemcinctus (nine-banded armadillo). RNAcentral describes it as "lncRNA (ENSDNOG00000050336.1)". The record is from RNAcentral. Lineage: Eukaryota; Metazoa; Chordata; Mammalia; Cingulata; Dasypodidae.
AGCUCCCCCCCAGGCCAGGAGCUGCUGCAAGGGGCAGGAGGCUGCGAGGGGCACAAUGCCCACACCAGAGGCGUGAAGGCGUCUGACGCGCUGACUGGCCGCCGUGGGGGGGGCGCUAAGGGCAACGCGGGUGGGACCUGCAGAAGCGGAAGGCGCCGCGCCUCCCCAGAACGGCCCUUUCUGCAUCAAGAAAAGGCGCCCUCCGUCCGUGCCGGGGUGAGCCCCACGUGAAAGAACCGUCGUGCGCGGGGGGGCUGGGUCCCCGGGAAUUCACGGCCCCCGGA